AAUAGCUCAAUGGUAGAGCAUUCGGCUGUUAACCGAAGGGUUGUAGGUUCGAGCCCUACUU
Molecule: transfer RNA, 61 nt
Filed under: bovine gut metagenome
Rfam family: tRNA
About the family: Transfer RNA (tRNA) molecules are approximately 80 nucleotides in length. Their secondary structure includes four short double-helical elements and three loops (D, anti-codon, and T loops).
Source: RNAcentral